Molecule: ribosomal RNA, 252 nt
Filed under: uncultured bacterium
Lineage: Bacteria
Description: partial 16S ribosomal RNA
Rfam family: Bacterial small subunit ribosomal RNA
Source: RNAcentral
UACGGAGGGUGCAAGCGUUAUCCGGAUUCACUGGGUUUAAAGGGUGCGUAGGUGGGUUGGUAAGUCGGUGGUGAAAUCCCCGAGCUUAACUUAGGGUAACGUAGCCACUUGUAUACUAUCAGUCUUGAAUAUUGUGGAGGUCAGCGGAAUAUGUCAUGUAGCGGUGAAAUGCUUAGAUAUGACAUAGAACACCAAUUGCGAAGGCAGCUGGCUACACAUAUAUUGACACUGAGGCACGAAAGCGUGGGGAUC